UACGUAGGUGGCAAGCGUUGUCCGGAUUUAUUGGGCGUAAAGCGCGCGCAGGCGGUUCGAAAAGUCCAUGGUGAAAUCGCCCGGCUCAACUGGGCGGGGUCGGCGGAUACGGCGUGGCUGGAGCAAGCUAGGGGGCAAUGGAAUUCCCGGUGUAGUGGUGGAAUGCGUAGAUAUCGGGAGGAACACCAGUGGCGAAGGCGGUUGCCUGGAGCUUUGCUGACGCUGAGGCGCGAAAGCGUGGGGCGCGAUCCGG
Molecule: ribosomal RNA, 253 nt
Filed under: uncultured bacterium
Lineage: Bacteria
Description: partial 16S ribosomal RNA
Rfam family: Bacterial small subunit ribosomal RNA
Source: RNAcentral